This 329-nucleotide unclassified non-coding RNA is filed under the name soil metagenome. RNAcentral describes it as "partial contains 5.8S ribosomal RNA, internal transcribed spacer 2, and large subunit ribosomal RNA". The stretch from base 1 to 120 matches the Rfam family "5.8S ribosomal RNA", at positions 35 to 154 of the family's 154-position model. The record is from RNAcentral.
GAUGAAGAACGUAGCGAAAUGCGAUAAGUAAUGUGAAUUGCAGAAUUCUGUGAAUCAUCGAAUCUUUGAACGCACAUUGCGCCCUCUGGUAUUCCGGGGGGCAUGCCUGUUCGAGCGUCAUUAUAACCACUCAAGCUCUCGCUUGGUAUUGGAGUUCGCGAUCUCGCGGCUCCUAAAAUCAGUGGCGGUGCCUGUCGGCUCUACGCGUAGUAAUACUCCUCGCGAUUGAGUCCGGUAGGUUUACUUGCCAGCAACCCCCAAUUUUUACAGGUUGACCUCGGAUCAGGUAGGGAUACCCGCUGAACUUAAGCAUAUCAAUAAGCGGAGGA